This 68-nucleotide microRNA precursor is filed under the name Bombyx mori (domestic silkworm). RNAcentral describes it as "mir-2774 microRNA precursor family". It matches the Rfam family "mir-2774 microRNA precursor family". The record is from Rfam by way of RNAcentral. Lineage: Eukaryota; Metazoa; Arthropoda; Insecta; Lepidoptera; Bombycidae.
ACAACAUUUGGACCAUCGGUCUACAGAGCAAUAUCACCCGCUCGGUGGAAGAUCUUUCCUUGCGUCGU